AGAGUUUGAUCCUGGCUCAGGAUGAACGCUGGCGGCGUGCCUAACACAUGCAAGUCGAGCGAUUUACUUCGGUAAAGAGCGGCGGACGGGUGAGUAACGCGUGGGUAACCUGCCCUGUACACACGGAUAACAUACCGAAAGGUAUGCUAAUACGAGAUAAUAUGCUUUUAUCGCAUGGUAGAAGUAUCAAAGCUCCGGCGGUACAGGAUGGACCCGCGUCUGAUUAGCUAGUUGGUAAGGUAACGGCUUACCAAGGCGACGAUCAGUAGCCGACCUGAGAGGGUGAUCGGCCACAUUGGAACUGAGACACGGUCCAAACUCCUACGGGAGGCAGCAGUGGGGAAUAUUGCACAAUGGGCGAAAGCCUGAUGCAGCAACGCCGCGUGAGCGAUGAAGGCCUUCGGGUCGUAAAGCUCUGUCCUCAAGGAAGAUAAUGACGGUACUUGAGGAGGAAGCCCCGGCUAACUACGUGCCAGCAGCCGCGGUAAUACGUAGGGGGCUAGCGUUAUCCGGAAUUACUGGGCGUAAAGGGUGCGUAGGUGGUUUCUUAAGUCAGAGGUGAAAGGUUACGGCUCAACCGUAGUAAGCCUUUGAAACUGGGAAACUUGAGUGCAGGAGAGGAGAGUGGAAUUCCUAGUGUAGCGGUGAAAUGCGUAGAUAUUAGGAGGAACACCAGUUGCGAAGGCGGCUCUCUGGACUGUAACUGACACUGAGGCACGAAAGCGUGGGGAGCAAACAGGAUUAGAUACCCUGGUAGUCCACGCCGUAAACGAUGAGUACUAGCUGUCGGAGGUUACCCCCUUCGGUGGCGCAGCUAACGCAUUAAGUACUCCGCCUGGGAAGUACGCUCGCAAGAGUGA
Molecule: ribosomal RNA, 860 nt
Filed under: uncultured bacterium
Lineage: Bacteria
Description: bacterial SSU rRNA
Rfam family: Bacterial small subunit ribosomal RNA
Source: RNAcentral